Molecule: ribosomal RNA, 250 nt
Filed under: uncultured bacterium
Lineage: Bacteria
Description: partial 16S ribosomal RNA
Rfam family: Bacterial small subunit ribosomal RNA
Source: RNAcentral
UACGAAGGGGGCUAGCGUUGCUCGGAAUCACUGGGCGUAAAGGGUGCGUAGGUGGAUUUUAAGUCAGGGGUGAAAUCCUGGAGCUCAACUCCAGAACUGCCUUUGAUACUGGGAAUCUUGAGUUCGGGAGAGGUGAGUGGAACUGCGAGUGUAGAGGUGAAAUUCGUAGAUAUUCGCAAGAACACCAGUGGCGAAGGCGGCCUGCUGGGCAGUGGCUGACACUGAGGCGCGACAGCGUGGGAGCAACAGG